Long non-coding RNA from Zophobas morio, 240 nucleotides. RefSeq lists it as uncharacterized. The record is from RefSeq and is a predicted model, not a curated record. NCBI's taxonomy places the organism in Eukaryota, Metazoa, Arthropoda, Insecta, Coleoptera, Tenebrionidae. The transcript has 3 exons.
CGGGAUAUUACAGUGAAUUAAUGACUAGAUAGUAAUAAUGAGCAUUUAUAAGCCAGUAGAUAGCCCGACUUAUCGAAAACCGCGUAUUGCGAACUUUGAUUUAAGCAGAAGAAGAUCCUUUACUUCUUGUUACCACCCUGAUUCUCUUGACUUUGUUUAUGAUCCUCUUCUGAAUUUGGGAAUUGGAUCUCGAAGAUUAUCAUCACCUUUGGAUACAUUCCAUUCUAAAGAUAUAAAUUC